RNAcentral lists this transfer RNA (74 nucleotides) under Weissella ceti. Its description in RNAcentral is "tRNA-OTHER". It matches the Rfam family "tRNA". From Rfam's summary of the family: Transfer RNA (tRNA) molecules are approximately 80 nucleotides in length. Lineage: Bacteria; Bacillati; Bacillota; Bacilli; Lactobacillales; Lactobacillaceae. The record is from RNAcentral.
GGAUCAUUAGCUCAAUUGGUUAGAACGGGUAGGUUAUUACUUACUAUGUGUCGGUUCUAGUCCGGCAUGAUUCG